Molecule: long non-coding RNA, 396 nt
Filed under: Gossypium barbadense (sea-island cotton)
Lineage: Eukaryota; Viridiplantae; Streptophyta; Magnoliopsida; Malvales; Malvaceae
Description: long non-coding RNA (GBAR_LNC014928)
Source: RNAcentral
GGAUUUUCACCCUCGGCCUUCGUUGCCGGAAGGGUUGUUUCACUCUUCUUUUCAGGAUUUUUGCUGCCGGAUUUUGAUUCCGGCUUCACGCCUACUGAACCAGCUCCUGCUUCCUACAGUUACACAGAGACCAAUAUGGGCAGGUAAGCUUAGUAACCUACCAUUUAAUUCCUCCUUUAGAUAAUGUAAAAGGCAGGUAGCUAAGUAUAAACACCUUCAAUGUUUCGGAUUGUGCUUCCCGUUUUAGUGUCUCUUUACCAGUGGACUUCCCUUCCUGGAAUAUACUCAAUCCAUGCGACAAACUGCAUCAAAAUGACCAAAUCAAAAAAUGCAACGUUAAUGGUAACAAAAACUGAGCAUGAGAAACUAAUCUGACCUCUUUGAUGGUAUCACGAG